GUUCAUGGAUCUCAAUUCAGAAGAAAAUCAUUUCUUAGUGGCAGUCCAUGCACUAACACAAAUUGUAUAUCCUGUAAUACAAAAUGAAUUUGAUAGACUAUGUCCUGAUCAGGAAUUAGAAAAAAUCCGUAUAGAUAUGUAUGAGCAGCAAAAGGCUCAGCAUUGUAAUGAUUUGCACAAGGAUGGAAAUAAAAGCAGAAAGGAAAGAAUAUACCUUACACAGAAUCAACAGCAACAACUCUUUUCACCAAAAAAAGAAGAAUCGAAGAACUUAGAUUUAAAAUUGAUGAUUUACAUUCUGAAAAAACGAAUCGAAGAGGAGGGCAAGGAAGAUGGCGUUGGUCAAUUAGAAGUAAUCGAUAACAUCAGGCGAGAAAUUGUUCAAAGUAGUAGCGGAGUUUUAACUGAAACACGUUUCCAAGAUAUCAUAAAAAGUAUUAGAAAGGCAGUAAUGCAUUUCGGAGGAGAAUUUUAAUGAGGAAAAAGUAUUUAACAUUCAUCAAAUACAAAAUAUUAAUUUUCUAGAAUAAAUUCAGAAGGACCAAUGAUAUAAUUAUAACCAUGAAACAGUUGGACGAACAUACAUAAUCUUAUUCCAGGAGUAUACUAUUCAUAUACAUAUUAUAUACAUGUAUCUCCAUCAUGUAAAUCUCUGAAAUCUGGACAUUGUCUGCUUAUACAUUUGGUCAUUUAUAUUAGCCCGUCAACGUUUGUAGACAAAGGCUAUGGAUUUUCAAAUGUUUUGUCAACGAGUCAACAAGCAUCACCUUAGUCGAUAUGCGCAUCACAAGCAGUAAAAUUGCUAUUCAUUAAACAUUGUUAAAAGCUUAACACAAACAAUACUUUUUGUUUCUACUAGCAAAUGACUUUAUGUGUACAAUGUAUUAUGUCAGUAAUACUGUCUUAUAUGUCCGAUACCCAUCCAGUAAAUUAACAUACACGUGAACACUAAGGCUAACACUUGAUUGAACGAGUAGAACAAUCUAUA
This is a long non-coding RNA of Mytilus californianus (California mussel), 988 nucleotides long. RefSeq lists it as uncharacterized. The record is from RefSeq and is a predicted model, not a curated record. NCBI's taxonomy places the organism in Eukaryota, Metazoa, Mollusca, Bivalvia, Mytilida, Mytilidae. The transcript has 4 exons.